This 445-nucleotide ribosomal RNA is filed under the name uncultured organism. RNAcentral describes it as "partial 16S ribosomal RNA". It matches the Rfam family "Bacterial small subunit ribosomal RNA", at positions 335 to 797 of the family's 1533-position model. The record is from RNAcentral.
ACUCCUGCGGGAGGCAGCAGUGGGGAAUAUUGGACAAUGGGCGCAAGCCUGAUCCAGCCAUGCCGCGUGAGUGAUGAAGGCCCUAGGGUUGUAAAGCUCUUUCACCGGUGAAGAUAAUGACGGUAACCGGAGAAGAAGCCCCGGCUAACUUCGUGCCAGCAGCCGCGGUAAUACGAAGGGGGCUAGCGUUGUUCGGAUUUACUGGGCGUAAAGCGCACGUAGGCGGACUAUUAAGUCAGGGGUGAAAUCCCGGGGCUCAACCCCGGAACUGCCUUUGAUACUGGUAGUCUUGAGUUCGGGAGAGGUGAGUGGAAUUCCGAGUGUAGAGGUGAAAUUCGUAGAUAUUCGGAGGAACACCAGUGGCGAAGGCGGCUCACUGGCUCGAUACUGACGCUGAGGUGCGAAAGCGUGGGGAGCAAACAGGAUUAGAAACCCCGGUAGUCCC